This 100-nucleotide ribosomal RNA is filed under the name Escherichia coli. RNAcentral's name for it is "partial 16S ribosomal RNA". It matches the Rfam family "Bacterial small subunit ribosomal RNA", at positions 1 to 100 of the family's 1533-position model. RNAcentral also lists the same sequence under 1 other name. The record is from RNAcentral. Lineage: Bacteria; Pseudomonadati; Pseudomonadota; Gammaproteobacteria; Enterobacterales; Enterobacteriaceae.
AAAUUGAAGAGUUUGAUCAUGGCUCAGAUUGAACGCUGGCGGCAGGCCUAACACAUGCAAGUCGAACGGUAACAGGAAGAAGCUUGCUUCUUUGCUGACG